AGUGAACGCUGGCGGUAGGCCUAACACAUGCAAGUCGAACGGCAGCACAGUAAGAGCUUGCUCUUACGGGUGGCGAGUGGCGGACGGGUGAGGAAUACAUCGGAAUCUACUUUUUCGUGGGGGAUAACGUCGGGAAACUUACGCUAAUACCGCAUACGACCUACGGGUGAAAGCAGGGGAUCUUCGGACCUUGCGCGAUUGAAUGAGCCGAUGUCGGAUUAGCUAGUUGGCGGGGUAAAGGCCCACCAAGGCGACGAUCCGUAGCUGGUAUGAGAGGAUGAUCAGCCACACUGGAACUGAGACACGGUCCAGACUCCUACGGGAGGCAGCAGUGGGGAAUAUUGGACAAUGGGGGCAAGCCUGAUCCAGCCAUACCGCGUGGGUGAAGAAGGACUUCGGGUUGUAAAGCCCUUUUGUUGGGAAAGAAAAGCAGCAGGUUAAUACCCCGCUGUUCUGACGGUACCCAAAGAAUAAGCACCGGCUAACUUCGUG
This 492-nucleotide ribosomal RNA is filed under the name uncultured bacterium. RNAcentral describes it as "partial 16S ribosomal RNA". It matches the Rfam family "Bacterial small subunit ribosomal RNA", at positions 29 to 507 of the family's 1533-position model. The record is from RNAcentral.